GCUCCGAUGGCCUAGUGGUUAGAGCGUCCGCCUCAGAUGCGGGUGGUGGUGGGUUCGAUCCUCGGUUGAGUCA
This is a non-coding RNA of Potamilus streckersoni, 73 nucleotides long. NCBI's taxonomy places the organism in Eukaryota, Metazoa, Mollusca, Bivalvia, Unionida, Unionidae. The record is from the annotation of a GenBank genome assembly.